This 503-nucleotide long non-coding RNA is filed under the name Capsicum annuum. RNAcentral describes it as "long non-coding RNA (CANN_LNC018315)". The record is from RNAcentral. Lineage: Eukaryota; Viridiplantae; Streptophyta; Magnoliopsida; Solanales; Solanaceae.
UAGUUAAUGGCUGACCUCCAAUUGUACCAUUUGCCCCACGUUCUUUGUUUCCCACCUCAAUAUCAGUGGCAACUCCGUGCUUGUAUUCCUCGUCCAUCUUUGGAACUGAGAGUAUAUGGUUUAGAUACUUGGAAUCGGGAUGAGGUCUUUUAGACGCUUCAGCAAUCUGAUCAGCACCGGGAGACAUGGAAGAAGUCUUUGGAUUAGACAUAGCCAAUGGCUGACCUUUAAUGGUACCAUUGGCCCCACGUUCUUUGUUUCCCACCUCAAUAUCAGUGGCAACUCCGUGCUUGUACCCCUCGUCCAUCUUUGGAACUGAGAGUAUCUGGUUUAGAUACUUGGAAUCGGGAUGAGGUCUUUUAGACGCUUCAGCUAUCUGAUCAGCACCAGGAGACAUGGAAGAAGUCUUCCGCUUAGACAUAGCCAAUGGCUGACCUUUAAUUGUACCAUUGAUCCCGCGUUCUUUGUUUCCCACCAAAAUAUCAGUGGCAACUCCUUGCUUG